AUGCUCGACUGGGCAGCACGUAUACUAAAAUUGGAAUGAUAUAGUGAAGAUUAGCAAUGGCCCCUGCACAAGGAUGACACUCAAAUUCAUGAAACAUUCCCUAUUUUA
Balaenoptera musculus (blue whale) is the source of this 108-nucleotide small nuclear RNA. The record is from Ensembl. NCBI's taxonomy places the organism in Eukaryota, Metazoa, Chordata, Mammalia, Artiodactyla, Balaenopteridae.